Molecule: ribosomal RNA, 119 nt
Filed under: Salmo salar (Atlantic salmon)
Lineage: Eukaryota; Metazoa; Chordata; Actinopteri; Salmoniformes; Salmonidae
Source: RNAcentral
ACUUACGGCCAUACCAGCCUGGGUACGCCCGAUCUCGUCUGAUCUCGAAAGCUAAGCAGGGUCGGGCCUGGUUAGUACUUGGAUGGGAGACCGCCUGGGAAUACCAGGUGCUGUAAGCA